RNAcentral lists this ribosomal RNA (443 nucleotides) under uncultured bacterium. RNAcentral's name for it is "partial 16S ribosomal RNA". It matches the Rfam family "Bacterial small subunit ribosomal RNA", at positions 338 to 795 of the family's 1533-position model. The record is from RNAcentral.
CCUACGGGUGGCAGCAGUGGGGAAUAUUGGGCAAUGGAGGAAACUCUGACCCAGCAACGCCGCGUGAAUGAUGAAGGUCUUCGGAUUGUAACGUUCUUUUCUAAGGGAAGAAGAAAGUGACGGUACCUUAGGAAUAAGCCUCGGCUAACUACGUGCCAGCAGCCGCGGUAAUACGUAGGCGGCGAGCGUUAUCCGGAAUGACUGGGCGUAAAGGUUGCGUAGGUGGGUUGGAAAGUUAGUAGCGUAACUCCAAGGCUCAACCUUGGAACUACUACUAAUACUGUUGGGCUUGAGUGCAGGAGGGGCAGACGGAAUGCGUGGUGUAGCGGUGGAAUGCGUAGAUAUUAGGAGGAACACCAGUGGCGAAGGCGGGUUGCUAGACUGUAACUGACACUGAGGCACGAAAGCGUGGGGAGCAAACAGGAUUAGAUACCCUGGUAGUC